AAACAAAAUUGACAAACCCUUGGCUAGACUAAGAAAAAAAGAAAGAAGAACCAGGCUGGAAGCAGUGGCUCAUGCCCAUAAUCCCAGCACUUUGGGAGGCCGAGGCAGAGUGGAUCACCUGAGGUCAGGAGUUCGAGACCAACGUGGCCAAUAUGGCAAAAUUCUGUCUCAACAAAAAUACAAAAAUUAGCCAGGCAUGGUGGCACGUACGUAUAAUCUCAGCUACUUAGGGGGCUGAGGCAGGAGAAUUGCUUGAAUCCAGGAAGUGGAGGUUGCAGUGAGCCAAGAUUGCACCACCACACUCCAUCCUGGGUGACACAGCAAGACUCCAUCUCAAAAAAAAAAAAAAUGCAGAAAGAAGACCCAUAUAAAUAACAUCAGGAACAAAAAAGCAGACAUAAAGCUGAGACCACAGAAAUACAAUGAAUCAUUAGAGACUAUUAUGAAAAAGUAUGUGCCAACAAAUUGGAAAACCUAAAAUACUCAUUCAUUCCCUUUACCACCCGCAGCCCGGCACUGACCCAACUUCCCUCAUAAAAGACAUGAACAGGGAAGAGAUCCACCUUUCCUUCUUCUUUCUUCUCUUUUUUUUCUGGGAUCAGGCUUUUUAAGGAUUGGAAUCUGGGAAGAAGGAUGAAAGAAAUGAGACUAGCCUUUCCAUAACUGGACCACCAGUAUGAUUUUCUGUAGGUUUCUCUGCUGGAUUCACAACCACUGGCAUAGGAGCCCUCCAUGUGGCAGGUGUUACUUGGAGACCCUCUGACUGCUCAAGCGAACCUCCCCAUGGCAUGGAAUCUUGUGGGAGCUCUGCCACCAGGAAACUCCAAAUGUUCUUCAGCUACUGUUCCAAAGGUACAGUCUGCAGUGUCUGGAUGGCAGGAACCCCAUCACCUUAGGAAAUAUGAUGUCUUCAGCAUUGUACAGAAAGCCUUGAGGAAACAUGGAGUUUCUGAAUCCUCUACCAUGUUCGCAAGUGAAGGAGAAACAUUUUCAUUCAGAUACCGAUUGAACAACACCUACCUAUGGGUAUCCCUCCCAAAGAGAGUUACCAGCCCUCAAGGGACUUCUGGAUUGAAUGCUAUGCCUUCUCAUCUCUCCCAUUUUAAUACCUCCUAGUUCAUCUCUCUGCCUUUAGCCUUGGCCCCAGUGAUCCAGGCUCUACACUGCUAGUGCAAGAAUCUCAUGAAGACAGCAAAUCUGAUGAUGCCCAGACUCUGAGGAAAAUCUUUCAGUGCCAUCUGCAUGAGUUUACUAUUGCUGCUUUAACAAAUUACCACAAAUUUGGUGGCAUAAAACAAUUCAAAUUUUUUAUCUUACACUUCUAUAGGUUAAAAGUUUGACAUGGAUCUUACUGGGCUAGAAUCAAAAUGUUAGCAGGGCUGCGUUCCUUUUAUGGAGUCUCUAGAGAAGAAUCCAUCUCCUAGCGCCUUGCCCAGCUUCUACAUGAUGUCUGUAUUCUUUGAGUCAUAGCCUCUUCCUUCCCUUUAGCAAAAGCAGGUUGAGUUCUCACUCUGCCUCAUUCUGACUUCUACAUAGAAGGUUUUUUCUUUACUCGUUUUGUUCAUAGCUAUAUCCCCAGCACCUAGUAGAAAGUUUUUACUACAUGUUUGUUGAAUAAAUGAAAAAAAAUCAAAAACUUAAAAACAAUGUACUAAGUGUACUUAAUAAAUGCAGUUGUUCCACAUUCCCAU
RNAcentral lists this long non-coding RNA (1691 nucleotides) under Homo sapiens (human). RNAcentral describes it as "HSALNT0062910". The record is from RNAcentral. Lineage: Eukaryota; Metazoa; Chordata; Mammalia; Primates; Hominidae.